Molecule: ribosomal RNA, 435 nt
Filed under: uncultured Alphaproteobacteria bacterium
Lineage: Bacteria; Pseudomonadati; Pseudomonadota; Alphaproteobacteria
Description: bacterial SSU rRNA
Rfam family: Bacterial small subunit ribosomal RNA
Source: RNAcentral
GCCUGAUCCAGCCAUGCCGCGUGUGUGAUGAAGGCCUUAGGGUCGUAAAGCACUUUCGCCAGAGAUGAUAAUGACAGUAUCUGGUAAAGAAACCCCGGCUAACUCCGUGCCAGCAGCCGCGGUAAUACGGAGGGGGUUAGCGUUGUUCGGAAUUACUGGGCGUAAAGCGCACGUAGGCGGACUAGUCAGUCAGAGGUGAAAUCCCAGGGCUCAACCCUGGAACUGCCUUUGAUACUGCUAGUCUUGAGUUCGAGAGAGGUGAGUGGAAUUCCGAGUGUAGAGGUGAAAUUCGUAGAUAUUCGGAGGAACACCAGUGGCGAAGGCGGCUCACUGGCUCGAUACUGACGCUGAGGUGCGAAAGUGUGGGGAGCAAACAGGAUUAGAUACCCUGGUAGUCCACACCGUAAACGAUGAAUGCCAGUCGUCGGGCAGUAU